This 415-nucleotide ribosomal RNA is filed under the name Tepidimicrobium sp. E08C003AN. Its description in RNAcentral is "bacterial SSU rRNA". It matches the Rfam family "Bacterial small subunit ribosomal RNA", at positions 95 to 526 of the family's 1533-position model. Lineage: Bacteria; Bacillati; Bacillota; Tissierellia; Tissierellales; Tepidimicrobiaceae. RNAcentral also lists the same sequence under 2 other names. The record is from RNAcentral.
GCGGCGGACGGGUGAGUAAUACGUGAGGAACCUACCUUCCACAAGGGGAUAGCCUCGGGAAACCGGGAUUAAUACCCUAUGACACUUAAGAGUCGCAUGACUCUUAGGUUAAAGCGCUUUAGCGGUGGGAGAUGGCCUCACGUCCCAUUAGCUAGUUGGUGAGGUAACGGCUCACCAAGGCGACGAUGGGUAGCCGGCCUGAGAGGGUGACCGGCCACACUGGGACUGAGACACGGCCCAGACUCCUACGGGAGGCAGCAGUGGGGAAUAUUGCACAAUGGGCGAAAGCCUGAUGCAGCGACGCCGCGUGAGCGAAGAAGGCCUUCGGGUCGUAAAGCUCUGUCCUAUGGGAAGAUAAUGACGGUACCAUAGGAGGAAGCCCCGGCUAACUACGUGCCAGCAGCCGCGGUAAUAC